AGAGUUUGAUUCUGGCUCAGAACGAACGCUGGCGGCAGGCUUAACACAUGCAAGUCGAACGAUAUAGUGGCAGACGGGUGAGUAACGCGUGAAAACGUGCCUUUCACUACGGAAUAGCUUUUGGAAACGAAAGGUAAUACCGUAUACGCCCUCCGGGGGAAAGAUUUAUCGGUGAAAGAUCGGUCCGCGUUAGAUUAGCUAGUUGGUGAGGUAAUGGCUCACCAAGGCGACGAUCUAUAGCUGGUUUGAGAGGAUGAUCAGCCACACUGGGACUGAGACACGGCCCAGACUCCUACGGGAGGCAGCAGUGGGGAAUCUUGCACAAUGGGCGAAAGCCUGAUGCAGCCAUGCCGCGUGAAUGAUGAAGGCCCUAGGGUUGUAAAAUUCUUUCGCCAGGGAUGAUAAUGACAGUACCUGGUAAAGAAGCACCGGCUAACUUCGUGCCAGCAGCCGCGGUAAUACGAAGGGUGCUAGCGUUGUUCGGAAUUACUGGGCGUAAAGCGUGCGUAGGCGGACUUUUAAGUCAGAUGUGAAAUCCCGAGGCUCAACCUCGGAACUGCAUUUGAAACUGGAAGUCUAGAGACAAGGAGAGGUUAGUGGAAUACCGAGUGUAGAGGUGAAAUUCGUAGAUAUUCGGUGGAACACCAGUGGCGAAGGCGACUAACUGGACUUGUACUGACGCUGAGGCACGAAAGUGUGGGGAGCAAACAGGAUUAGAUACCCUGGUAGUCCACACCGUAAACGAUGAGAGCUAGUUGUCGGCAUGUAUACAUGUCGGUGACGCAGCUAACGCAUUAAGCUCUCCGCCUGGGGAGUACGGCCGCAAGGUUAAAACUCAAAGAAAUUGACGGGGGCCCGCACAAGCGGUGGAGCAUGUGGUUUAAUUCGACGCAACGCGCAGAACCUUACCUACGCUUGACAUGCCCUGUUUGGUUACCAGAGAUGGUAUCCUUCAUUUAGUUGGCAGGUGCACAGGUGCUGCAUGGCUGUCGUCAGCUCGUGUCGUGAGAUGUUGGGUUAAGUCCCGCAACGAGCGCAACCCUCAUCCUUAGUUGCCAUCAGGUUUGGCUGGGCACUCUAAGGAAACUGCCGGUGGCAAGCCGGAGGAAGGUGGGGAUGACGUCAAGUCCUCAUGGCCCUUACGCGUAGGGCUACACACGUGCUACAAUGGUGGCUACAAUGGGAUAAUCCCCAAAAGCCAUCUCAGUUCGGAUUGUCGUCUGCAACUCGACGGCAUGAAGUUGGAAUCGCUAGUAAUCGUGGAUCAGCAUGCCACGGUGAAUACGUUCCCGGGCCUUGUACACACCGCCCGUCACAUCAUGGGAGUUGGUUCUACCCGAAGAUCGUGCGCUAACUUCGGAGGCAGCGAGCCAUGGUAGGAUCAGCGACUGGGAUGAAGUCGAAACAAGGUA
Molecule: ribosomal RNA, 1412 nt
Filed under: metagenome
Description: bacterial SSU rRNA
Rfam family: Bacterial small subunit ribosomal RNA
Source: RNAcentral